UUAGAAAUCGUGAGGGUUCAAGUCCCUCUAUCCCCAAAAAACCCAUAG
Molecule: transfer RNA, 48 nt
Filed under: Abelia forrestii
Lineage: Eukaryota; Viridiplantae; Streptophyta; Magnoliopsida; Dipsacales; Caprifoliaceae
Description: partial tRNA-Leu
Source: RNAcentral